UGGUGGAAUUGGUAGACACGCAUGAUUCAGGUUCAUGUGCCAAGAGGUGUGGGGGUUCGAGUCCCCCCCUGGGCACCA
Molecule: transfer RNA, 78 nt
Filed under: Opitutia bacterium
Lineage: Bacteria; Pseudomonadati; Verrucomicrobiota; Opitutia
Description: tRNA-Leu
Rfam family: tRNA
About the family: Transfer RNA (tRNA) molecules are approximately 80 nucleotides in length. Their secondary structure includes four short double-helical elements and three loops (D, anti-codon, and T loops). Further hydrogen bonds mediate the characteristic L-shaped molecular structure. tRNAs have two regions of fundamental functional importance: the anti-codon, which is responsible for specific mRNA codon recognition, and the 3' end, to which the tRNAs corresponding amino acid is attached (by aminoacyl-tRNA synthetases). tRNAs cope with the degeneracy of the genetic code in two manners: having more than one tRNA (with a specific anti-codon) for a particular amino acid; and 'wobble' base-pairing, i.e. permitting non-standard base-pairing at the 3rd anti-codon position.
Source: RNAcentral